RNAcentral lists this ribosomal RNA (468 nucleotides) under uncultured bacterium. RNAcentral describes it as "partial 16S ribosomal RNA". It matches the Rfam family "Bacterial small subunit ribosomal RNA", at positions 28 to 507 of the family's 1533-position model. The record is from RNAcentral.
GACGAACGCUGGCGGCGUGCUUAACACAUGCAAGUCGAACGGCAAGGCACUGCUUGCGUGGGGUGCUGGGGUGGGGAACGGGUGAGGAACACGUGAGUAACGUGCUCUUGACUUUGGGAUAACUUAAGGAAGCUGGGGCUAAUAUCGGAUAGGAGCUCCUGUUGGAUGGAGGGGGUUGGAAAGUUUCGGCGGUCGGGGCUGGACUCGCGGCUGAUGAGUUAGUUGGUGGGGGAGUGGAUUGCCCAGGAUUUGACUGGUAGGCGGCCUGGGAGGGUGACCGGCCACAAUGGUACUGCGAGACGGCGCAGUGUCCUACGUGAGACAGCAGUCGGGAAUAUUGCCCAAUCGGCGCACGCCUGAUGCAGCAGCCCCGCGUGCGGGAUGACCUCCUUCGGGUUGUAAACCGCUUUCGCCUGUGACGAAGCGUGAGUGACGGUAAUGAGUGAAGAAGCACCGGCUAACUACGUG